Molecule: long non-coding RNA, 2016 nt
Organism: Micropterus dolomieu (smallmouth bass)
Lineage: Eukaryota; Metazoa; Chordata; Actinopteri; Centrarchiformes; Centrarchidae
Exons: 2
Source: RefSeq, a predicted model, not a curated record
CAGCUCUGUGGGGUGAAGUGAGUGUGUCCAUGUGUGUCUUAUGACUGCCAGAAGGGAAAUGUGCAACAGGGUUGCCAGAUCCCAGAAGAGAAAACAAGCAACCCAGACUGUCCAGAGCUCCGGAAGUGACAGCCACUAUUCUAGAAAGAGACCAUUUGAUGCUGGGAUCAAGCCACACCUGGUUUGUUUCAAGCUUAAUGCUGCACAUCAUUACUGUAAAAGAUGAGAACCUAGCAACUAGGUACUUUCCACUACUAUUCGCAACAGAAUGCUCACUUCAUGGCUGUUUCUGUGGGUCUUGUGGUCCUUCAAUAAGCUUUUAAUGAGGAAGUAACAUGCUGUGGAUCACAGUUAGUGGAGCGCCACUGCUAAAAGCUACUGAUUGUGUCUGUGGCCAUGGUGAUCAGUAUAGAUAGUUCACUUUGAAUGUUUGGUGAUUGCAUUUGUAGUGAACACCUCUAGCAGUGACAGUUGCCUGGUGGUACUAGAUGCGAAGUCAGGGGUGUCAUCAAAAUCUUCAGGGUUUGUCUUCUGGUGACCUUGAAUAUCUACGGGAAACUAUCAAUUCUAAGUACUUCGUGAACCAAAAAUGAAAGGGUUCCCCCUUUGCAGAGCAUGAAUGUCAUGGCAACAUGCUCGUUAGAACCUGAUGUUUCUGGGAUAUUAGUCAGAUUUUUUAGGCUGGUGGUAGUGUUACAGGGGAAGGUCAGGAAGUCUGCAGAAACAUUAAGAUUCAUCUUUUGGGGACGAUAUUUAUCUGCUUCACAUUUUAUGGAAAUCUUUUUUAUGGAAGUCCUGACUCAAAGUGUUGGAUAAUGGGAAAUUUUGACUGUGUAGAAGGUGGGGCUCUGGCAACUCUUUGCUGCUCUAUUCCCCCAUAUUUUCUCCCCUCCUGUUUUCUUCCUUUUUGCCUAAAGCAGAAGAUGUAGAAGUUAUACAAAAAAAAUAUAACUCUCAGUGAUUGGGUCAAAAGGGCAAAUCCGCAGUGCGUCCUGGGCUCCACAAAUCCAUAGUUUGUGCUCCGAGUGCUCUCACUGAACCCUGCAGUAAAUGCGUGUGUCAGCCCACAGCUGUCAAAAGCAAACUCAAAUACAAACAGUACAGUCUAGCGAGUACAAACAAGUGCUUCCCACAAUUGACCUCCUCCACGGUGAUUGUCUGUCUGGUUUAUAUCAAAGAUGGUGUACACCCACAGACCAAAAUGCGUAGAAAUAUCAGAAUCCAAUGCUGAAACUUAAAGGUGUUUCCUUUUCUCAAACUCCUGGUUUACAGUGUCAAAAGAAGCAGUUGUGUCAUGCUGUGGGGCCUGUGUGUGUUUAUAGAGAGCACCACAAAAACCACUGGUGUGAAUGUCUUUUUCUGUGGGACAUUUGGUGUCAUUUCUCAGAAGCACAACUUUAGCAAAAUCACAUUUUCAUGUCUUGUCAUCAAUUCCUUCCUCUUCUUUUGAGGGCUUUUCUUUGUGACAUGUCCCUCUCUGCUUCCCCUUUCUUCUGAAAGAGUAUCUCAUUCUUAACAUCUUUUUUAUUUUAGGACAGGAGAGUGGUAAUAAGGGGUGGGUAGUGUGAUUUCUAUGGUGUUUUUAACUACCGCCUUUACAUUGUUCUCAUAAAUGACCACUUUUUACCAAUAGGUCAAACCAUUGAAUCCAAUUAGUAACAUAGAUUUUCAUACAGCAUACAGGGCUUUAAGAACUCUUGCUGAACAUUAAGCAGACAAAAAAGUAAUGAUUAAAUAUGGGCAUAGUGUACCGAUCAUCUUUACGUGAAAUUAUUCCCACACUUGUGUCAUAUGACUCUUGAGUUUCCCUUAAUAAACCACCCUUAAUUUAUCUCACUCUUAAUUUAACAGUUAUGGUAAAUAUAUUACAUUUAUACAAUAUUUAUACAUUUGUACAAUAGCUUUUUUUGUACAUGCAUUUCUGACUAAAGUUACACUGUGUAAUCUGAAGAUUUCCUGCUCUUCAUAUCUUAAAUAAAAGGGCCUGUGGCAUCUAACCGGUAACUGUCUUAACUA